ACUCCUACGGGAGGCAGCAGUGGGGAAUAUUGCACAGGCNGCAGCAGCAUGCAGCCAUGCCGCGUGUGUGAAGAAGGCCUUCGGGUUGUAAAGCACUUUCAGUCGUGAGGAAGGUGGUAGUGUUAAUAGCACUAUCAUUUGACGUUAGCGACAGAAGAAGCACCGGCUAACUCCGUGCCAGCAGCCGCGGUAAUACGGAGGGUGCGAGCGUUAAUCGGAAUUACUGGGCGUAAAGCGCAUGCAGGUGGUUUGUUAAGUCAGAUGUGAAAGCCCGGGGCUCAACCUCGGAAUUGCAUUUGAAACUGGCAGACUAGAGUACUGUAGAGGGGGGUAGAAUUUCAGGUGUAGCGGUGAAAUGCGUAGAGAUCUGAAGGAAUACCGGUGGCGAAGGCGGCCCCCUGGACAGAUACUGACACUCAGAUGCGAAAGCGUGGGAGCAAACAGGAUUAGAUACCCUGGUAGGUGA
Molecule: ribosomal RNA, 466 nt
Filed under: uncultured bacterium
Lineage: Bacteria
Description: bacterial SSU rRNA
Rfam family: Bacterial small subunit ribosomal RNA
Source: RNAcentral